This is a long non-coding RNA of Bubalus bubalis (water buffalo), 748 nucleotides long. RefSeq lists it as uncharacterized. The record is from RefSeq and is a predicted model, not a curated record. The transcript has 2 exons. Lineage: Eukaryota; Metazoa; Chordata; Mammalia; Artiodactyla; Bovidae.
CAAUGCAAUUAAGGUUAAGGAAGAGGAAGAUGAAAGGUGAUGGUGAGGCUAGUGUGGAAAAAGGUCAGCAGAGCAAGUUAGUGCUCUUGAGGGGAAGAAAGGGCAACAAAUCAUAACCAGCUUUUUUCUUCUCUCAGGGGAUCCUGGUAGGUUUCACAUGGAAGUUACCCAGCAGCCCACCUAGAGAGUCGCUCUUCCCUGCAUGGUCAACUGCUAGACGGCCACCCUCUUUCCUUUAAAGGCAGAUGCGAUCUACCUUCCAUGGGUGAUUCAGAAAGAAAAGAAGACUUUGCAAAAACUGAAGCAAAAGAGAAGUUUUCUAAGCAAAGAAGGCCACGCAGAAAGAAGUCAACAGAUUAAAGAAGAAAAAGACCCAUAUACCUCCCAUCUUCCUUCGGCUUAGGACACUGAAACUCUGAAAGCAGACCACGUACCUUCAGAAGAGUUCUUCCAGGAGAAAUAAACUUGUCCACCCGGCCACAGUCAGGCUUUCUUUGAUUUCUGAGGAGGUCAUAGAGAAAUGGAGAGCAACAACCCACCUGCUCACUCUGCUUGUCAAGGGUAGUUCCAAUAAGCUGUGAAGAAACUCUGCUACUCUGAUACGGCCAAGGUCAACACACUGCGCAGGGAAGAAGACAUCUUAGACUACUCCUACCAUGAUGCUCUGAGUGUUGCCAACAAAACUGGGGUCAUCCAGAUGGAACCCAGCACUUUCAUUUUAACUGUAUUAAGGUUUCCUGUCAUCCAA